This 891-nucleotide ribosomal RNA is filed under the name Hymenoscyphus fructigenus. RNAcentral's name for it is "LSU rRNA". It matches the Rfam family "Eukaryotic large subunit ribosomal RNA", at positions 32 to 938 of the family's 3401-position model. The record is from RNAcentral. Lineage: Eukaryota; Fungi; Ascomycota; Leotiomycetes; Helotiales; Helotiaceae.
ACUUAGCAUAUCAUAAGCGGAAGUACAAGAAGCAACAGGGGAUUACCUCAGUAACGGCGAGUGAAGCGGUAUCAGCUCAAAUUUGAAAUCUGGCUCUUUCAGGGUCCGAGUUGUAAUUUGUAGAAGAUGCUUUGGGUGUGCGCUCCGGUCUCAGUUCCCUUGGAACAGGACGUCAUAGAGGGUGAGAAUCCCGUAUGUGACUCGGCUGCCUUCGCCUAUGUAAAGCUCUUUCGACGAGUCGAGUUGUUUGGGAAUGCAGCUCUAAAUGGGAGGUAUAUUUCUUCUAAAGCUAAAUAUUGGCCAGAGACCGAUAGCGCACAAGUAGAGUGAUCGAAAGAUGAAAAGCACUUUGGAAAGAGAGUUAAACAGUACGUGAAAUUGUUGAAAGGGAAGCGCUUGCAACCAGACUUGCCUGCCGUCGAUCAUCCUGGGUUCUCCCUGGUGCACUCGGCGGUGGUCAGGCCAGCAUCGGUUUGGGUGGUGGGAUAAAGGCCUUGGGAACGUAGCUCCUCUCGGGGAGUGUUAUAGCCCUCGGUGCAAUGCCGCCUACUGGGACCGAGGACCGCGCUUCGGCUAGGAUGCUGGCGUAAUGGUUGUAAGCGACCCGUCUUGAAACACGGACCAAGGAGUCUAACAUCUAUGCGAGUGUUUGGGUGUUAAACCCAUACGCGUAAUUAAAGUGAACGGAGGUGAGAACCCUUUAGGGUGCACCAUCGACCGAUCCUGAUGUCUUCGGAUGGAUUUGAGUAAGAGCAUAGCUGUUGGGACCCGAAAGAUGGUGAACUAUGCCUGAAUAGGGUGAAGCCAGAGGAAACUCUGGUGGAGGCUCGCAGCGGUUCUGACGUGCAAAUCGAUCGUCAAAUUUGGGUAUAGGGGCGAAAGACUAAUCGA